CACACCUAUUUACAUGGACACCUUGGCCAAUAGGAAUCACUUCCAGCCGAAGACUGGGAGACCGGGAAGAGCCUCUGCCGCCCGCGGGGAGCGGGCAGCGCCUACCGGUGUGCGCAAUGGGAAGGGCAACCAGAAGGGCUGGGGACCUUGGUAAAGGCAUGAGGAGAAGUGUUAAGGACAUGUUUGUUUAACAAAACAGCUGAUCAAGGACACUGCUUACCCUGGAAGUCCGGAGUUCCCAGCUUCCUUCUCCAGAUGGACUGCAUCCAUAUGCAAGUAUGCACCACGUACCCCACACGCAACAGAAUAACAGCCACAUUUCAGCCUCUCCGAAGUCAAAGAGGGCCUUGAGAGACGGCUGAGCACUUAAGAGUGCUUCCUGCUUCUACACCCACAUGGCAGUUCACAACUGCCAUGACUCCAGUUCCAAGGGAGCUGUUAACUCUCUCUGACCACUGUGGGCUCCUGCACAUAUACACACGUUCAGGCAUUCUCCCUCUCCCUCCCUCUCCUCCUCCUUCUCUCCCCCCCACCCCCACGUUCUUUCUUUCCCUCUACCUCCCUCUCUUCCUCUCUCUCUAUCUCUCUCAUCUAAAACCCAAACAUUUCCCAAAUAUUUGCACAGCACACACAACUACCUGGCAUACUUACAUAGUCUCUCAUAGUCUCUCUUUUUCUCCCAGAUGUGCUCUCUCUCUCUCUCUCUCUCUCUCUCUCUCUCUCUCUCACACACACACACACACACACACACACACACACACACACACUUACAUACUCACACUAAAUAUUUAGAAGAAAACAAGGAAUUAAUGAGCUGGGCACAGUAGCACACACCUAUAAUCCCAGUACUUAGGAGACUGGAGCAGGAGGGUUGAGAGAUUGAAGCAAUGCCAGUCUACACAGCAAGGCCCUGCUUUUAUUUAAGCUAAUAAUAUAGCCACAUUGUUCCAUAGCAGUAUACAUGCAUAUUACCUGCCUGUUUCUUCUCUCUUCCUUCCCUCCUCCCCCACUUCCUUCUUCCUGUGGUGCAGUGCACUGAACCCAAGGACGUUUUACACAUGGCUAAGGAAGUAUCCUACCACAGCAUACAGCAUGUCCAGGUCUUCAGUUUUUCUUAAUACCUGAACAGAGCAUUGUGAAGUGCAAGUCUGCCCCCUAUCAUUUCACCAGUCUCCUGUUGCUUUGAGCCCCGUGCAGUUCUAGCCAGUGUUACACAGAGCAUCCUUCCUUAGUCUUCUUGGUGCACACACACUAGUGUAGCUGCAGGAUGUGACAGGUGGAGGCUAAAUUCCUAGACAUUGACUUCCUGGGUCGACUUGUUAUAGAAAUUGCAAAACUGUUUUUUGAAAAAGGUUUGAACUAAUUUACCCGCCUUUCAAUAAUAUGAAAAUGCUGCUUACCCCACGCUCUCGGUGUUCUAUGUGGAGGUUUUAAAAAUGAAUGUGUGUUAAUUAUACAAAGUAAGGGGCUUUGUUACAAGAGUUACAUACACACAGUCAGUGCUCUUUGGUCAUUAGUGUAGUUUCAUCCCCCUCUUUUCUAUGCUUCCUCCUGUGUUGACUUUUAAUUUGGAGUCAUAAAGAUGUUUUAAAGCUUCAUGUAAUAUCCUAAACAAAGGAACUCACUUCUCUUCAAGUUACUGACCUCUUGUGGAGGCUGCUUCAGAACCACAGAUCUGCACAACAAUAGGGAUAGAAUGCUGGAAGGCAUUGUCUUGAUUAUUAUGAAAAGAUUCAGCCCCACUGUGGGUGGCAUCAUUCCCUAGGCAGGAUGUCCUAAACUGUAUACAAGUGGAAAACCUGAGCUGAAUACAAGCAUGUGUAUGUCCAUUUCUCUCUGCUCUUGACUAUGGAUGUGCUGUGACCAGCUCUUUGAAGUCCCUGCCUUGAAUUUCUGACCAUGAUGAACUGUAACCUCAAAUUGUAAGCUAAAAUAAACCCUUUCUCCCCUAA
This 1952-nucleotide long non-coding RNA is filed under the name Mus musculus (house mouse). RNAcentral's name for it is "RIKEN cDNA B230323A14 gene". Lineage: Eukaryota; Metazoa; Chordata; Mammalia; Rodentia; Muridae. The record is from RNAcentral.